Molecule: transfer RNA, 84 nt
Filed under: Actinomadura sp. HBU206391
Lineage: Bacteria; Bacillati; Actinomycetota; Actinomycetes; Streptosporangiales; Thermomonosporaceae
Description: tRNA-Leu
Rfam family: tRNA
About the family: Transfer RNA (tRNA) molecules are approximately 80 nucleotides in length.
Source: RNAcentral
GCGGGAAUGGCGGAAUGCAGACGCACCGGGCCCAAACCCCGGGGAGCCGGAAGGCUCGUGCGGGUUCGAAUCCCGCUUCCCGUA